GUGCUUGCUUCACUAGCACAUAUACUAAAAUUGGGAUCAUACAGAGAAUGAGUAUGGUUCCUGGUCAGGGAGGACAUGCAAAUUCGUGAAUCAUCCUACAUUGAA
This 105-nucleotide small nuclear RNA is filed under the name Chinchilla lanigera (long-tailed chinchilla). Lineage: Eukaryota; Metazoa; Chordata; Mammalia; Rodentia; Chinchillidae. The record is from RNAcentral.